CAGGGGUGCAAACGUUGCUCGGAAUUAUUGGGCGUAAAGCGCGCGUAGGCGGCUACUUAAGUCGGAUGUGAAAGCCCUUGGCUCAACUGAGGAAGUGCACCCGAAACUGAGUAGCUGGAGUACGAAAGAGGGUCGCGGAAUUCCCGGUGUAGAGGUGAAAUUCGUAGAUAUCGGGAGGAACACCGGUGGCGGAGGCGGCGACCUGGGUCGAUACUGACGCUGAGGCGCGAAAGCGUGGGGAGCAAACAGGAUUAGAUACCCUGGUAGUCCACGCCGUAAACGAUGAGUGCUAGAUGUUUCUGGUAUUGACCCCGGAGGCGUCGUAGCUAACGCGUUAAGCACUCCGCCUGGGGAGUACGGCCGCAAGGCUA
Molecule: ribosomal RNA, 371 nt
Filed under: uncultured organism
Description: bacterial SSU rRNA
Rfam family: Bacterial small subunit ribosomal RNA
Source: RNAcentral